RNAcentral lists this transfer RNA (74 nucleotides) under bacterium. Its description in RNAcentral is "tRNA-Arg". It matches the Rfam family "tRNA". Rfam says of the family: Transfer RNA (tRNA) molecules are approximately 80 nucleotides in length. Their secondary structure includes four short double-helical elements and three loops (D, anti-codon, and T loops). The record is from RNAcentral. RNAcentral also lists the same sequence under 1 other name.
GCGCCCGUGGCUCAACUGGAUAGAGCAUCUGACUACGGAUCAGAAGGUUGGGGGUUCAAGUCCCUCCGGGCGUA